This 131-nucleotide ribosomal RNA is filed under the name uncultured bacterium. Its description in RNAcentral is "partial 16S ribosomal RNA". It matches the Rfam family "Bacterial small subunit ribosomal RNA", at positions 396 to 535 of the family's 1533-position model. The record is from RNAcentral.
GCCGCGUGAGUGAUGACGGUCUUCGGAUUGUAAAGCUCUGUCUUUUGGGACGAUAAUGACGGUACCUGAGGAGGAAGCCACGGCUAACUACGUGACAGCCGCGGCGGUAAUAUACCAGCCGCCGCGGUAAU